Non-coding RNA from Felis catus (domestic cat), 85 nucleotides. Lineage: Eukaryota; Metazoa; Chordata; Mammalia; Carnivora; Felidae. The record is from Rfam.
GCCUGGGUGGCUCAGUCAGUUGCGCGUCUGACUUCAGCUCAGGUCAUGAUCUCACGGUUCGUGGGUUCGAGCCCCGCGUCGGGCU